Molecule: ribosomal RNA, 316 nt
Filed under: Acanthurus leucopareius
Lineage: Eukaryota; Metazoa; Chordata; Actinopteri; Acanthuriformes; Acanthuridae
Description: partial large subunit ribosomal RNA
Rfam family: Bacterial large subunit ribosomal RNA
Source: RNAcentral
UAGACACCAAAACAGACCAUGUUAAUCAUCCCUAAAUAAAGGACUAAACAAUAUUGAACCCUGUCCUAAUGUCUUCGGUUGGGGCGACCACGGAGAAAUAAGAAACCUCCGCGUGGAAUAGGGAUACUAUCCCCACAGUUACGAGCCUCCGCUCUAUCAAACAGAACAUCUGACCAACCAGAUCCGGCAACGCCGACCAACGGACCAAGUUACCCUAGGGAUAACAGCGCAAUCCCCUUCUAGAGCCCAUAUCGACAAGGGGGUUUACGACCUCGAUGUUGGAUCAGGACAUCCUAAUGGUGCAGCCGCUAUUAAG